This is a non-coding RNA of Dipodomys ordii (Ord's kangaroo rat), 70 nucleotides long. NCBI's taxonomy places the organism in Eukaryota, Metazoa, Chordata, Mammalia, Rodentia, Heteromyidae. The record is from Rfam.
GGGAAGGUAGCUCAGUGGUAGAGUGCAUGCCCUGCAAGCAUGAGGCCCUGGGUUCGAUUCCUCAGCACCA